This 258-nucleotide long non-coding RNA is filed under the name Arachis ipaensis. Its description in RNAcentral is "long non-coding RNA (AIPA_LNC001026)". Lineage: Eukaryota; Viridiplantae; Streptophyta; Magnoliopsida; Fabales; Fabaceae. The record is from RNAcentral.
GAAGACGACGGGCGACGGCGAUCCGACGAGUGCUUCUGUCGCCGGAGAGGAGGAGCCUAGGGAAGGCCGCGAGACGUUGAAACACCGGCGAUGAGCUCGAUUGCGAGACAAGAGAGGAGAGAGGAGAGAGGGAGAGAUCUUGCGUCCGACGCACAGUGAGAAAGAUUGAUAGAUAUCGAGCAGAGAGAGACAGAGAGAGAGGAUAGCAAGAGCAGAGAAGAAGAUUUCAGAAAUCUUCAGAGGCGUGAACGAUUUUAG